GACAGAGGGUGCAAACGUUGUUCGGAAUUACUGGGCGUAAAGCGCAUGUAGGCGGCCUAGCAGGUCGGAUGUGGAAUCCCUCGGCUCAACCAAGGAAGUGCAUUCGAAACCGCAAGGCUGGAGUCCCGGAGAGGAUGGUGGAAUUCUCGGUGUAGAGGUGAAAUUCGUAGAUAUCGAGAGGAACACCGGCGGCGAAGGCGGCCAUCUGGACGAGGACUGACGCUGAGAUGCGAAAGCGUGGGGAGCAAACAGG
Molecule: ribosomal RNA, 253 nt
Filed under: uncultured bacterium
Lineage: Bacteria
Description: partial 16S ribosomal RNA
Rfam family: Bacterial small subunit ribosomal RNA
Source: RNAcentral